RNAcentral lists this microRNA (20 nucleotides) under Rattus norvegicus (Norway rat). RNAcentral describes it as "rno-miR-3064-5p". Lineage: Eukaryota; Metazoa; Chordata; Mammalia; Rodentia; Muridae. The record is from miRBase by way of RNAcentral.
UGGCUGUUGUGGUGUGCAAA